AUUGUCUUAUUAGGUGUUAUAUAUCGCCAUUUGGAAGCGUAUUUUAGCAACCUUGUUUUUAGGCUGAAGCAUUUCGAGGAAAGGCUUCGUGUGUUUCGGUCAUACUCGUCAUGUGGCGUGUGGCUGUUACCCUGUGUCUGCUAUGUAUGGUUCUACUGCAGACGACAUUAUCCGCAGAGAUACGCCGUUUUCGGAGGUGCCCUUGGAGGCGAGACGCCCUCGGGAUAGGCAGAUGCUGCGACAAAUCCGCCAUCCCAGGAUGCAUUUGCCAGAGCCGAAUAGAGCUGCCAGCAGAUAUGAUGGCGCGAGAGUGCACUGCUGUUGAAAAACCAAACAGGGAUCCGAAGGAACCCAUGUGUCACUGGCGGUACGAUGAAUAUAUCAAACUGGGAAUAUGUUGCAAAUACACGGGAGCAUGCCGCUGUUUACCCAUCACCAUGGACUUCGGACUGUACAGACAUUGCGGGGACCCAGUGCCGAAAAUGCGAUAGACGUUUCAAUUGAGGACAAUAUGAAUGGAAGAACUGCUCAAGAUUCAUAGAACUGUAUUAGAUUCCUACAGCAAAAGUUAUCGAAAAGACACUGUGAGAAAAGCACGUUUUCUUUUAUUAGUGCGAAUACUUUAAUUUGUGGAUUGAUUUGAUACAAAUUGCCACUCAGUUUUGGAUUGAAAACCACUGCAUUUUUUGAAACAAACUUUCUACGGUGACUAAUAAAAGUCUUAUCAGUUAGAAUCAUUUUCAGUUUCAGGCUAUUUGCAAUGAAAACGUUGUUAGAAAUAUGUUGAAU
This is a long non-coding RNA of Lingula anatina, 789 nucleotides long. RefSeq lists it as uncharacterized. NCBI's taxonomy places the organism in Eukaryota, Metazoa, Brachiopoda, Lingulata, Lingulida, Lingulidae. The record is from RefSeq and is a predicted model, not a curated record.